AUACGUAGGGAGCGAGCGUUAUCCGGAUUUAUUGGGCGUAAAGCGUGCGUAGGCGGUUUAUUAAGUUUAAGAUGAAAGGCUGGGGCUCAACUCCAGUUUGUCUUAAAAACUGGUAAGCUUGAGUAUGGUAGAGGUAAAUGGAAUUUCUAGUGUAGCGGUGGAAUGCGUAGAUAUUAGAAGGAACACCAGUGGCGAAAGCGAUUUACUAGGCCAAAACUGACGCUGAGGCACGAAAGCGUGGGGAGC
This 246-nucleotide ribosomal RNA is filed under the name uncultured bacterium. RNAcentral describes it as "partial 16S ribosomal RNA". It matches the Rfam family "Bacterial small subunit ribosomal RNA", at positions 523 to 769 of the family's 1533-position model. The record is from RNAcentral.